AUGUACCACUCGUACACUACGGUUCUGAGCGCGCCGCCCUGACGACUGCUCGCUAAGCUGUGUCAGCC
This 68-nucleotide small RNA is filed under the name Xanthomonas arboricola pv. pruni. Its description in RNAcentral is "sX9". It matches the Rfam family "Xanthomonas sRNA sX9". Lineage: Bacteria; Pseudomonadati; Pseudomonadota; Gammaproteobacteria; Lysobacterales; Lysobacteraceae. The record is from RNAcentral.